UGAUGGUUAUGCCAAUGGACCUUGGCAUGAUAAGUUUUCCCUCAAAGACAAUCUUCACCUAGUUUUGAAACUUACAAUUUUGAAUAGUUCUAUCAAGCAUAUUAAUUUAAAGGUUACAUGCAUAGAAUAAACUUUGUCUGUAUUGUUGUCAUGCAGCUGUUGUUCAGAACAUGAAAAGUCUUCUAAGGGAUCAUGAGUCCCUUUAUUCUCAUCUUUGUUCUGGCAGCAUUGUACUGAAGCGGUUCAAAUCAAAUACAAAAUAUUCCGCUCUGAUUAAAUUUAUUCCACUAUAAACAAAGUUAAAACAACAUAGAACAGAAAGUAGGGAACCCCAAAUUUAUUAUGAAGCAAGACCAAAACCAGGAAAAUCCAAUCACAAUCAUUCCCAAUAAGACGACACCAAUGCACAAACACAACCACAUUGAAACUUUCACAUUCUGGAAAACUAAUAAUAGGAGAGGCAAAAUGGCACUAGGAAAGCUAAGGAAGCAAAUGAAGCCGAGAUGGCCAAAGGAGGGAAUGAUCCAGCUGCAGCAGAGCCUCCAUGUCCAGGGCUGGUAUGUGGAGCUGGACUCGGCGCAUGUGAGUGACCAUCAUGCCCUUCAGUAACACCCGCAAAUAUCAAUACUGCAAGGAUCAAACAGAUAGAGGAAAAGGGAAUCAAUGAUCUUCCUCUUGCCAUUUCUGAGAGUUGGAGACAAUCCAAUGAGAUGACUUUCUCAAACAGGUAGCUUUAUAGAACUGGCAUUGAGGAGAAGUCAUGACCUGGCCAGUUAAGGCCACUGCCCGCUACCCAGAUCUUUCUUAAUUUACCAUUUUAUAUACUACAUGAGGCAUGUAAUAGUGUUGAUCUAGUCAACUGAUCAGGUUGCUUAUUACACAAAGCAGAUAGGUUCACACAGGCUGUUCAUUUUAGGAAGUUAGCCUGAAAAUUCAACCUCAGGACUCAUACAUGAAGCCCACAACCCACCAACAAGAGAUCGUACAUGCUUGUACCGCUCAGGUGCAGACUUGCAGUACAAGAAAUUUUCAUGUUAGGUGAAGUUAAUGUCAGUUUUGACCUUUUGGCAAUAUAAAUUAAUCAAUUGCUAAUCUGUAUUAUUGACUUUGUAUAAUGGGGUUGUUUCUUGUGUAGAUAAUUCAAAAAUAAAAUUCUAAACCAUUACCUGUUGUUGCCAAGGUUUCAUCAUCCAGUGUAGGCCACAUAUAGAUCACAUAACCUAGAAAUGAUCAAUCAAUGGGGGACAAAUGAAUGGUCUAGUGAAAUUUUUAUCUGGAAAUAAACAGUUGGAAAACCCUUACUAGAUUCUCCCUCCUCCAUCUCAGCAGCAACACAGGUAAUAAGAGCUAGCUUCACAAGGACAAGGAAAGGGCAGAGUAUACACCAGUUGUAAGUGGAACAAGCAGAGGGGAUAAGCAGAGGGGAUAAGGGCAGAGUAUAUACCUGUCACUAUUUCGAAUGAGAGAGCAUUUGCUUCUGAUUGAUAGGAACAUUGAU
RNAcentral lists this long non-coding RNA (1498 nucleotides) under Vitis vinifera (wine grape). RNAcentral describes it as "long non-coding RNA (VVIN_LNC004827)". The record is from RNAcentral. Lineage: Eukaryota; Viridiplantae; Streptophyta; Magnoliopsida; Vitales; Vitaceae.